UAGGGAACUGAAAGGACCGACCUUCGGGAGCCUAUACAGGUGUUGCAUGGCUGUCGUCAGCUCGUGUCGUGAGAUGUUCGGUUAAGUCCGCUAACGAGCGCAACCCUCGUCGUAUGUUAUAUGUGUCAUACGAGACUGCCGGUAAAAAGCCGGAGGAAGGUGAGGAUGAUGUCAAGUCAGCAUGACCUUUAUAUCCAGGGCUACACACACGCUACAAUGGUCUGUACAAUGGGUAGCCAAGCCGCGAGGCGGAGCCAAUCCUGAAAGCAGGCCUCAGUUCAGAUUGCAGUCUGCAACUCGACUGCAUGAAGCCGGAGUUGCUAGUAACCGCAGGUCAGCAAUACUGCGGUGAAUACGUUCCCGGGUCUU
Molecule: ribosomal RNA, 369 nt
Filed under: uncultured Anaerolineaceae bacterium
Lineage: Bacteria; Bacillati; Chloroflexota; Anaerolineae; Anaerolineales; Anaerolineaceae
Description: bacterial SSU rRNA
Rfam family: Bacterial small subunit ribosomal RNA
Source: RNAcentral